Molecule: long non-coding RNA, 455 nt
Organism: Rattus rattus (black rat)
Lineage: Eukaryota; Metazoa; Chordata; Mammalia; Rodentia; Muridae
Exons: 2
Source: RefSeq, a predicted model, not a curated record
AGGGUGCCAGCUACAGUAAUCACUAUGGAACCUCCGUCUCUCUAGGGCCCUGAGAUCAAGUCCAGCUUUCUCAAUGGUCCAGACAAGGCAAGACCCACCCUUCUUUGGGGAGCACUGCCACAUCUUGCCCUCCCUCUGCUCAUGACCUGGUUUCAGCCUUAAGAAACCAGAAUCCACCAGACAGGCCUUCCCAGCAUUUUCCCAGGAAAAUGGCUCCCAGUAGAAGAAAAGCAAGGUUCAUGGCCAUUGGCUCUUGCCUUCUCCACUCAACAUCUCCCUCGGUCACCGUCAAUUUCUUGUUCCGUGCCUGACCAUUUUUGUUGUCAUGCAAACACGCUGUGCACCUCUCGUUCCAAGGAAGCUGUCGCCGCAUCCUUUCACAAGGCAAUGGGGUGAGGUGGGUGUUGGACGAGCUCUCUACACUCCGAAGAACAAUAAAGGAAGCAAGAAAGCAG